AAAAUGACAACAGUAUCAUAUCAAUAACUCCAUAUACAUGUACUUUUUUAAAAAGUGAUAUUUGAAAAAUUUGGAAAUGUUGGUCUCACAAAGAAUUUAAUUUAGACCAUGUUAAUAUUAAGUUUUCUGUAAUUUUAACACGUUAAAAGACAUCCUUGCUAAAAAAAAUCUAGCAAUACAGAACCCAAAAAUUUGGUAUUAUAUUAUGUAUUUUUCAAAGUAUAUUACUUUAAAAGGGUGGAGAUAUAUUUGGGGAAAUUUUUAAAAGAAGCCAUAUUUCUGCUUUCUUUCCAAAAGACAUUUCCAUUUCACAACAUCAGUAUCAAAUGCACUGGGAAGUAUAACAACAAUCAAAAUUCAGAAAAUUUGGUUGACAUUACAAAUUGAUGGUAGGCAAAUGACUAAAUCAGAUUUUAUAAACUUAAUGCUUUUUGAAUUACCAGUUUUAAAAAAAAUACUAAAGCUGUUCAACAAUAAAAUUCUUAAUCUCCUUAGCACAUUAGCUUAAUCUAUACUAUAACAAUGUGGUUGAUUUAUAACAUGAUUUCUAAAUGCAAAAGGCAAAUUUCACAGCAGGUACCCCAUCCUGUUUCAAUUUUCAUAUACAUAACAUUAAAACAUAGUUAUACAAAACGUAAAUGGAUUCUUCAACAAAUAAAACAAUACAUACAAAUGGAAUAAAUUAAGAUCACAGUUAUGUAGCUAAUAUAAAUGUUUUUUUGUCAAUGGUGACUGGGCUAUUCCAAAAAUAAAGCCUUUUUUUUAAAACUGAAUUCAUAUUAUUGAAUCUAUCUAUGAAAUCAAAUUCUACAGUGAGAUGUUUACCUGGCUGGAAAAUAGUACUGAUCUGCAGCAAAAGUAAUGUUUUGAUUUGGAAAGAAUUUCCACAAAACAUGUCAUUUUCAUUUUGAAGAAGUCUUAUACUCAGAAUUUAUAGCAAAUGUUAAACAGAUAAAAAAUAAUCAGAUUACAAAAUGUACAAAUUAAUCAUUAAUUUAUACAAAUGUUUAGUUAUUGUUUCUAUGAAAUGAGUGAAAUAGUAUAACCAAGUGCUCUGCAGGGCGCAGCUUUAUACAACCGCAGAGGUCGAACCCUGAACAGUUGGGGAGUAGGACAAAACAUUCAAGCGUGAUACAGCUCUGAAUUUGGAUUGUGAUCAAAUUUUUGACAUUACAUGGGUUUUUUUUACACAAAAAAAAUGUCAAGAUUUUACAAAUCAAUUAAAGAUUUCUUCUUCAAACUUUUUAAAUCUAAAAUUAAAUAGUUGACACAGCAUAGGUUUCUGACACAGAAUGAAUGUGGUCUAAUGAACUUAAAAAGUUUUUUUUUGCCUUUGAGCAAUUCACUAUGCUGUUGAACAUUAAUCCUCUCAAAAAAAUGUUUGAAGAAAUUUUCUUUUUAUUUUAUGAAAUCUGAAAUGAGAAAAAUUUAAACACCCCCUUUUUUUUCACAUCCCCGUUUCCCUUUUUCCAAAACUGAUAUCAAUUCAAAUUUCUAAUGGAGUUUGCAACAAUAACUACUCUUUUAAAUACAUCAUAAAAUAUUAAAA
RNAcentral lists this long non-coding RNA (1549 nucleotides) under Mytilus galloprovincialis (Mediterranean mussel). The record is from RNAcentral. Lineage: Eukaryota; Metazoa; Mollusca; Bivalvia; Mytilida; Mytilidae.